Long non-coding RNA from Xenia sp. Carnegie-2017, 435 nucleotides. RefSeq lists it as uncharacterized. The record is from RefSeq and is a predicted model, not a curated record. The transcript is spliced from 2 exons. Lineage: Eukaryota; Metazoa; Cnidaria; Anthozoa; Malacalcyonacea; Xeniidae.
AGGGUGUUAUAACACAAUGCACGGUUCAAACGAUAAGCUUUCCGCGAGUCUUAUAAUCUUCAAAGAGUUGUUCACUUAACAUACAUGUUCAAUCAUGUACAGUCAUGGAUAUCAAUGUUUUAGCAUGAUAAAACUAUUACAAUGCGAAAGCACGAUCUCCAUAAUCACUUGCCAUGAUAUUGUUGUUGCAUUUUUAUAGACAUGUCGAGCGUACGGACAGUGAAAGAACGCGAACUCUGGCAGUGGUACAAGAGAUGAAGAUCAAGAAGAAGAUAGAGAGGAGUACGUUAUUUUUUCCUGUCCUAAUCUUAACUUGUUUUUAGAUUUUUCGUUUAGAUGAGGAGGAGGCUGAUGAAAAGAAGAGGAUGCUGACGGAGAGACGAGGAAGAUGCUGACGGAGCUACGAGGAGGAUGCUGAUGGUGCUACGAAGAGGA